Molecule: non-coding RNA, 135 nt
Organism: Brachypodium distachyon (stiff brome)
Lineage: Eukaryota; Viridiplantae; Streptophyta; Magnoliopsida; Poales; Poaceae
Source: Rfam
AAUAUAUUCCUACGUCCAACAAAAGAUGUCUCAAGUUUGUCGAAAUUUGGAUGUAUCUAGACAUGACUUAGUGUAUAGAUGCAUUCAAAUUUAGUCAAAGUUGAGACAUCUUUUGUUGGACGGAGGGAGUAAGAU